AUGCCCCUCCUAUUAGUAACAUUGGACCCAAACCCUUUCAACUUCCAAUUUUCCUUUCCGCCCCUGUUUUCUCUCCGCUAACCUUCCUUACCAAACACGCAACCUAUGAUCCACAAUGAAGGCUUCGGCAGCGUGUCUUGUGGCAGUGCGAACAACACACGACGGCGAGCAGCAACACUCCGGCGAACCAAUGAUUCUUUGAGAAGACGUGAAGCAGUGGUGACACUCCGACGUUUCUGGUGCAACGAAGACCCUCCCCUCCGACAUGUUUCCAAACAACGAAUCAAGCCCCAAAUUUCUCUUCUUCUCUCUUCAGAAUUCAAUCGUUUCUUAGAGGACGUCGAAUCUUCAAAUCAUUGUAAAAAAAGACCCUACAAAGACGGUUCCAAUCAAGGAUAAGAAUAAAGGACAAAAGGAGAACACUACAAGCAUGCUGAAGCAGCGAGACGAGGAUGAAAUUGCGGUAUCUUCUUAUUCAUACGUCGUAUAUAAUAAAACUUACACAGUACUGAAAAUAGUUUACUUAGUCUAUAACUUGUAAUCUACUGCCAACAUUUUGUUACUUACACAAAUUUUACAAUUGUAAAACUUCCAUCAUGUAAAAUCUGGCUAAGAAUGAUCAUAUAGUGUUCCUGCGUUGAUUGGUUUAAUUCCUGAAAAAAUGUAACAAGAAAAUGGGUGGGGAUUAAUGACACAUUGUGCAAGAAUAUUAAAGAGACACCGUAUUUAAGGUUGCUGA
Molecule: long non-coding RNA, 739 nt
Organism: Momordica charantia (bitter melon)
Lineage: Eukaryota; Viridiplantae; Streptophyta; Magnoliopsida; Cucurbitales; Cucurbitaceae
Source: RefSeq, a predicted model, not a curated record